RNAcentral lists this ribosomal RNA (780 nucleotides) under uncultured Neocallimastigales. RNAcentral describes it as "partial large subunit ribosomal RNA". It matches the Rfam family "Eukaryotic large subunit ribosomal RNA", at positions 23 to 633 of the family's 3401-position model. Lineage: Eukaryota; Fungi; Neocallimastigomycota; Neocallimastigomycetes; Neocallimastigales. The record is from RNAcentral.
AGAGAGAGACAUGCGCGCAUAUCAAUAAGCGGAGGAAAAGAAACUAACUAAGGAUUCCCUUAGUAACGGCGAGUGAAGCGGGAAGAGCUCAAAUUUGAAAUCUUCAAGGUUCUACCUUGACGAAUUGUAGUUUAAAGAAGUGUUUUCGGUUAGAGGAGUUUAGUAAAAGUUCUUUGGAAUAGGACAUCAUAGAGGGUGAGAAUCCCGUAUUUGACCAUUAUUUUCUAGCUUUGUGAUACACUUUCAAAGAGUCGGAUUGUUUGGGAAUGCAGUCCAAAAUGGGUGGUAAAUUUCAUCUAAAGCUAAAUAUUGGCGAGAGACCGAUAGCGAACAAGUACCGUGAGGGAAAGAUGAAAAGAACUUUGAAAAGAGAGUUAAACAGUACGUGAAAUUGUCAAAAGGGAAGCGUUUGACACCAGUGUUGUUUUCUCGAAAAUCAAUUAAAAAUGGCAGGAUUUUGUGUUGUAUUGACCUUUAUCAAGCUUUCUUCACUCUUUUCUUGUCUUUUUUAAUGCACUUUUCGUUUAACAAGUCAACAUCAAUUUCUUUUGUUGUAAAAGAGUCAUUGGAAGGUGGCUUUCUUUUCGGAGAAAGUGUUUAUAGCCUUUGGCCUCUGCAAUCGGAGAGAUUGAGGUCUGCAGCGUAGAUCCUUCGGGGUUAGAUACAUUUGUGCUAAGUUAUAGCCUUUCAUAGACAACUUGCUGACUAUGAUCAGUCAUGUAGCUUACUCGCUUAUGCUAUUUUACCUACGCUUAGGAUGUUGACAGCAGUAUAGACUGU